ACAAACUUGGUCAUUUAGAGGAAGUAAAAGUCGUAACAAGGUAACCGUAGGUGAACCUGCGGUUGGAUCAUUAACAAAUCAAGAAGGGCUGUCCAAAAGACAGCCUUUUCUCAACACCUGUGAACUGUUUAUGUCUCUGGUGGGUUAAAAGAGCAGCAGUGCUGCUUAGAGUCGCCUCUACCCACUAUAUUAUUUUAAACCUAGUAGUAUUGUUUGUCUUAUAAAAGUAGUUUAACUUGAACAACUUUUGGCAACGGAUCUCUAGGCUCUCGCAUCGAUGAAGAACGCAGC
RNAcentral lists this unclassified non-coding RNA (291 nucleotides) under uncultured fungus. Its description in RNAcentral is "partial contains small subunit ribosomal RNA, internal transcribed spacer 1, and 5.8S ribosomal RNA". The stretch from base 1 to 73 matches the Rfam family "Eukaryotic small subunit ribosomal RNA", at positions 1759 to 1831 of the family's 1831-position model. Lineage: Eukaryota; Fungi. The record is from RNAcentral.